CCUACGGGAGGCAGCAGUGAGGAAUAUUGGUCAAUGGACGCAAGUCUGAACCAGCCAUGCCGCGUGCAGGAAGACGGCUCUAUGAGUUGUAAACUGCAUUUGUACGAGGGUAAACGCAGAUACGCGUAUCUGUCUGAAAGUAUCGUACGAAUAAGGAUCGGCGAAUUCCGGGCCAGCAGCCGCGGUAAUACGGAGGAUUCAAGCGUUAACCGGAUUUAUUGGGGUUAAGGGGUGCGUAGGCGGAUCGUUAAGGCAGUGGUCAAAUGGUGGGGCUCAACCCCUUCCCGCCAUUGAAACUGGCGCUCUUGAGUGGAAGAGAAGGAUGCGGAAUGCGUGGUGUAGCGGUGAAAUGCAUAGAUAUCACGCAGAACCCCGAUUGCGAAGGCAGCAUGCCGGCUUCCGACUGACGCUGAAGCACGAAAGCGUGGGGAUCGAACAGGAUUAGAUACCCGGGUAGUC
RNAcentral lists this ribosomal RNA (459 nucleotides) under uncultured bacterium. Its description in RNAcentral is "partial 16S ribosomal RNA". It matches the Rfam family "Bacterial small subunit ribosomal RNA", at positions 338 to 795 of the family's 1533-position model. The record is from RNAcentral.